Molecule: ribosomal RNA, 253 nt
Filed under: uncultured bacterium
Lineage: Bacteria
Description: partial 16S ribosomal RNA
Rfam family: Bacterial small subunit ribosomal RNA
Source: RNAcentral
UACGUAGGGGGCUAGCGUUGUCCGGAUUUAUUGGGCGUAAAGAGCGUGUAGGCGGUUUGGUAGGUCCGCUGUGAAAACUCGAGGCUCAACCUCGAGACGCCGGUGGAAACCAUCAGGCUAGAGUCCGGAAGAGGAGAGUGGAAUUCCUGGUGUAGCGGUGAAAUGCGCAGAUAUCAGGAAGAACACCCGUGGCUAAGGCGGCUCUCUAGUACGGUACUGACGCUGAGACGCGAAAGCGUGGGGAGCAAACAGG